Colius striatus (speckled mousebird) is the source of this 680-nucleotide long non-coding RNA. RefSeq lists it as uncharacterized. The transcript is spliced from 3 exons. Lineage: Eukaryota; Metazoa; Chordata; Aves; Coliiformes; Coliidae. The record is from RefSeq and is a predicted model, not a curated record.
CUGUCUUUUAAGGAAAAUGGUAUAACUCAGGAAAAAACCCCAAACAACAUGCAAGUUAUCCAGCUGCUCAUUUGCUCUUGAAAUAUUCACUGAAUUCUCUGGAGUCACGGGGAAUUCUCUGCUCCAUUCUCUACUUCAAUACAAAUUAUUUCAGGAUCAAUUACUUCACAGACAAAAGAAGCAAACAAAGCACCAAAAUCUGCAUCCUCCCUCCCUGUCUCAGACAGGAGGGAGCCAAAACUUGCUUGAAAUAACAAUACAAGCUGUGACAAGACACAGAUCCUGUCCAAAUCCAUCAAAAUGCACUUGGAGAAAAACAAACAGCAGAACAUUAGAAGAGCUCCCAGUAACACCAAGUAAUCUCGCUGAGUGUCACACAUUGUAAUUCUUAACACUGUUAAAACCAUCUCAACUACAAUCAAUAGUCAUCAACUUCAAAAGAUAGCUUCCAAAGAUGAUCCCAAUUAUUCUUUCAUGACAAUUAUCAGCCAACUUUGCUUCUAUUUUUAUUUCACAGCCACCACUGCUAAACUGCUUCCACAGCUUUCAUAUGAUAUGCUCAAAAAGAAGAAUGUUUUUCUAAACCAAUACAAGAUUCUGAAAGCAAUUCUUACAGAACCCAAGCCACUCUUCAGCACUUUAUUGCUUUGCCUAGAUGAGCAGAUUAGAAUACAUUUUCA